This is a long non-coding RNA of Bubalus bubalis (water buffalo), 967 nucleotides long. RefSeq lists it as uncharacterized. The record is from RefSeq and is a predicted model, not a curated record. NCBI's taxonomy places the organism in Eukaryota, Metazoa, Chordata, Mammalia, Artiodactyla, Bovidae. The transcript has 5 exons.
UUGGUCAUGGCCUACUUUGUACUGUAGGCCUGUAUGCACUGCACCUGAGAAGCAGCAGCAUUACUGCUGCGUCAGGGCUGUGUCUGUUCAGUCAUCCGGGAGAGGAGAGACUAUAGCGUGUCUACCGCGUCACCCAGGAUAGAGGCUGUGCUUGGCUGCCGCGCCAGCCAGGAGAGAAUAAAUGUGUCUGCAGUUCCUACAUCUCCUCGAGUCUCCUUCCAGCCUUAGUUCGUGCCUUGCCUACCCUGGUGUCAGCGCACCAUGUGAACAGCAAGACAAUUGGCCUUGGCGUCAGGAACAGGAUCAGCAAUAAACUAAGUAUAGACCAUACUUUGAUUCCCCCUAAGAAGUGGACCCUUACAAAGAAAUUUUGACAUACAUGAUCUGCUUUUAAGAUUUAAGGGAAUGAUGACAAGAAAUCCUUUGUAUCUGAAAUGAUUUCGGUUCUUGUAAGCCGGAACUGGUCAUAUUCAUCUCCAGCUGUGGAUUAGAAACAGAACUUGGAUUUAAGAAGAUAAAAAUGACAGAUUCAUGAGAUUAGAACUCCUAAAGUGAUAUCCAAUGAGUAACAGUCUGGACCAGAAAGGGAAAAUACCCUACUGAUGCAGAAACCCAAAGAAGUAGCAUGGUUAUUACUUCCACGUUGAUGGAUGGAGAACAUGAAGAAGAUGGAGUUUGAGUGCUUGGCCCUAAAUCUCAAUAUUGUUAAGAGGUAAACAUCAGUUUUGAACCUGGAUCUUUUCUGACUCCAGAACACCUAUGCUGCACUGUGACAGGACCUCACACCAAUUGCUUCUCAACACAUCAAGCAUCAGGGACUUUUGCAAUGAGUCGUCUGUUUGCAUCAAAUGACCAGACUACCAGACCUCCGCUUCAGCAUCAGUUCUUCCAGUAAAUAUUCAGGGUUGAUCUCCCUUAAGAUUGACUGGUCUGAUCUCCUUGCUGUCCAAGGGACUUUCAGAAGUCG